RNAcentral lists this ribosomal RNA (142 nucleotides) under uncultured bacterium. Its description in RNAcentral is "partial 16S rRNA". It matches the Rfam family "Bacterial small subunit ribosomal RNA", at positions 355 to 511 of the family's 1533-position model. The record is from RNAcentral.
UGGGGAAUUUUCCGCAAUGGGCGAAAGCCUGACGGAGCAAUGCCGCGUGGAGGUGGAAGGCCUACGGGUCGUCAACUUCUUUUCUCGGAGAAGAAACAAUGACGGUAUCUGAGGAAUAAGCAUCGGCUAACUCUUGUGCUAG